Molecule: ribosomal RNA, 446 nt
Filed under: uncultured bacterium
Lineage: Bacteria
Description: partial 16S ribosomal RNA
Rfam family: Bacterial small subunit ribosomal RNA
Source: RNAcentral
CCUACGGGUGGCAGCAGUCGAGAAUAAUUCACAAUGGAGGCAACCCUGAUGGUGCGACGCCGCGUGGGGGAAUGAAGGUCUUCGGAUUGUAAACCCCUGUCAUGUGGGAGCAAAUUAAAAAGAUAGUACCCCAAGAGGAAGAGACGGCUAACUCUGUGCCCGCAGCCGCGGUAAUACAGAGCUCUCAAGCGUUGUUCGGAAUCACUGGGCGUAAAGCGUGCGUAGGCUGUUUCGUAAGUCGUGUGUGAAAGACGCGGGCUCAACCCGCGGACGGCACAUGAUACUGCGUGCCUAGAGUAAUGGAGGGGGAACCGGAAUUCUCGGUGUAGCAGUGAAAUGCGUAGAUAUCGAGAGGAACACUCGUGGCGAAGGCGGGUGCCUGGACAUUAACUGACGCUGAGGCACGAAGGCCAGGGGAGCGAAAGGGAUUGGAUACCCCUGUAGUC